UACGAAGGGUGCAAGCGUUACUCGGAAUUACUGGGCGUAAAGCGUGCGUAGGCGGUUUGUUAAGUCUGUCGUGAAAGCCCCGGGCUCAACCUGGGAAUGGCGAUGGAUACUGGCGAGCUAGAGUACGGUAGAGGAGAGUGGAAUUCCCGGUGUAGCAGUGAAAUGCGUAGAGAUCGGGAGGAACAUCAGUUGCGAAGGCGGCUCUCUGGACGGUGACUGACGCUGAGGAGCGAAAGCAUGGGGAGCGAACAGG
Molecule: ribosomal RNA, 253 nt
Filed under: uncultured bacterium
Lineage: Bacteria
Description: partial 16S ribosomal RNA
Rfam family: Bacterial small subunit ribosomal RNA
Source: RNAcentral